AUACGGAGGAUGCGAGCGUUAUCCGGAUUUAUUGGGUUUAAAGGGAGCGUAGAUGGGAGCUUAAGCAAGUUGUGAAAAGCGCGGGCCCAACCCGCGUCGUGCAAUUGGAACUGUGUUCCUUGAGUGGGUUCGGGGCAGGUGGAAUUCGUGGUGUAGCGGUGAAAUGCUUAGAUAUCACGAAGAACUCCGUCAGCGUAGGCAUCCUGCCAGGCCCUUGCUGACGUUGAAGCUCGAAGGGGCGGGUGUCAAACAGGAUUAGAUACCCUGGUAGUCCGCACGGUAAACGAUGGAUGCCCGCUGUCGGCGACAGACUGUCGGCGGCCAAGCGAAAGCGUUAAGCAUCCCACCUGGGGAGUACGCCGGCAACGGUGAAACUCAAAUGAAUUUACGGGG
This 393-nucleotide ribosomal RNA is filed under the name uncultured bacterium. Its description in RNAcentral is "partial 16S ribosomal RNA". It matches the Rfam family "Bacterial small subunit ribosomal RNA", at positions 523 to 918 of the family's 1533-position model. The record is from RNAcentral.